RNAcentral lists this long non-coding RNA (217 nucleotides) under Capsicum annuum. RNAcentral's name for it is "long non-coding RNA (CANN_LNC010173)". The record is from RNAcentral. Lineage: Eukaryota; Viridiplantae; Streptophyta; Magnoliopsida; Solanales; Solanaceae.
CGCCUCUUCCUAAUAAUCAACCCCUUUUGAGUAAACACAUGCUGCAAACUCUUAUGGUCUAAAUUAAUGUCUACAUACACUCCAUACAAGUAAUGGCGCCAAAUUUUCAAAGAAAAAACACAGAUUCCAAUUCUAAAUAAUGAGUCAGAUCUUCCUUUCAUAAACCUUAAUUUGUCUGGAAAUAUAGGCUACCUUACCAUAUUGCAUCAACACACAG